Perca fluviatilis (European perch) is the source of this 741-nucleotide long non-coding RNA. RefSeq lists it as uncharacterized. The record is from RefSeq and is a predicted model, not a curated record. NCBI's taxonomy places the organism in Eukaryota, Metazoa, Chordata, Actinopteri, Perciformes, Percidae. The transcript is spliced from 4 exons.
GGUCGAGGAGAAACAUCCUAAAGUGAGUGCCAUCGCUGCACAGUGAUCAACAACAUACGUGGCUGAAGAUGAUUUUCACACUUACAUCUGCCUGCAGAAGGAGUCCCUCAGGUGUUUCUUUGAAGUGUGCCAUUCUUUUAGGUGUUGGCAACAGCAGCUGACGUUGAACAAACACUACAGCUUCCUGACUCUUCAAGACUAAUUGUCUUAGGUGAAUUGCUCACAGCAAGCUUUUGGAUGCUGAGCAUCGAGGGUCAGGUGGUUUUGCCUCCACAUCCCAACUUCUUGGCUGGAGUGGCAGCUUUGUUUUCUAGCUACUACAACUUCAAUCUGGUGUACCAGGAGCAAGCAUCUUGCACACUGGAAUUCAUUCAAAGAUGCUUUUUGGACUGAACCCCUCCAGUGGGACCAAGACAACAAAGAUGGUGAGCCAAAAAAGUGGGAAGGUACAGGAGAAGAAGAGAAACCCUCACGUUUCCUCUCUACUCAAGCAGAUGAUGGAUUUUGAAUGGCUUCAAUUGUAAGUCAUAUACAAACGACUUCCUCACUAUUUGAACGGACAUUGUUCUAAUCUUCUAAUGUUUUAUUUUUGCCUGUUGUCGAGGUUAUGUUUUGAACAGUUAUGGUAAUCCAGGUCCUGAUAUAAAAUUGGGUCUUUAAGCAAUGCAUAUUGUGAAUUUUAAUAUUGCUGGACCUCGUUGCAACUCUUAAUUUGAAUUCCAUUGAAUGUUUAAUGAGCUG